UACGGGGGGUGCGAGCGUUGUCCGGAAUCACUGGGCGUAAAGAGCUCGUAGGCGGUCUGUUGCGUCUGCUGUGAAAACCCGGGGCUUAACCCCUGGCUUGCAGUGGAUACGGACAGACUAGAGGUAGGUAGGGGAGAAUGGAAUUCCCGGUGUAGCGGUGAAAUGCGCAGAUAUCGGGAGGAACACCGGUGGCGAAGGCGGUUCUCUGGGCCUUACCUGACGCUGAGGAGCGAAAGCGUGGGGAGCGAACAGG
Molecule: ribosomal RNA, 253 nt
Filed under: uncultured prokaryote
Description: partial 16S ribosomal RNA
Rfam family: Bacterial small subunit ribosomal RNA
Source: RNAcentral